UGGGUGGACCAGGCGAUCGCCGGUAGGGGUCGUUUAGACCCAGGCUGGAGGAAAGUCCGGGCUCCGUAGAACAUGACGCCGGGUAACGCCCGGGAGCCGCAAGGCUACAGAAAGUGCCACAGAAAACAAACCGCCCGUAAGGGUAAGGGUGAAAAGGUGGGGUAAGAGCCCACCGCGGUUUUGGUAACAGGACCGGCAGGGAAAACCUCGUCAGGAGCAAAGCCAAGCAGCAGGUGGAUUGUUCGUCCUAUACCUGCGGGUAGGCCGCUAAAGCGUAUCGGUAACGCUACGCUCAGAUAGAUGAUCGCCCACGACAGAACCCGGCUUACGGUCCGCCCAUUUU
This 343-nucleotide RNase P RNA is filed under the name Spirochaetales bacterium. RNAcentral describes it as "RNase P RNA component class A". It matches the Rfam family "Bacterial RNase P class A". Rfam says of the family: Ribonuclease P (RNase P) is a ubiquitous endoribonuclease, found in archaea, bacteria and eukarya as well as chloroplasts and mitochondria. RNAcentral also lists the same sequence under 1 other name. Lineage: Bacteria; Pseudomonadati; Spirochaetota; Spirochaetia; Spirochaetales. The record is from RNAcentral.